This is a long non-coding RNA of Neopelma chrysocephalum (saffron-crested tyrant-manakin), 1346 nucleotides long. RefSeq lists it as uncharacterized. The transcript has 3 exons. The record is from RefSeq and is a predicted model, not a curated record. Lineage: Eukaryota; Metazoa; Chordata; Aves; Passeriformes; Pipridae.
GUGUGUCGGGGAGGCAGCGAGCAGGGGCUGGCGUGGUGGUGCAGCUGAAGCCUCUUUGCGGUCCCAUUCCCGCGGCCGGUUUGUCACAAGCAGAAUCGUGGGGAACGCAAGUGCCAAAAACGGAACUUCAGCAGAUGCCAUAAGAAUGGGCUAAAAGUGGGCUAAAAAGAACAAAAAAAGCAGAGAGUGGGCUUUCUGUACCAAGCUGCAAUAGUAAAGUUUGCCUGCAUGAAGACACAAGGCUGUGGGAGACACCUUUAACUGCAGCUCCUGGCUCUGGAGACACCUUAACCCCGGCUCCUGGCCCUGGAGACACCCCCAGCGCAGCUCUUCCCCCGCGGGUGCCCCGCGGGUGCCCCGCAGCCUGCGGUGCUCGGGGGACACCUGGUGGUGGCUGUGCCGCAGCGCGCCCCGCCCCGCCCGGGCCCCGCACGCCCCUUGGCUCGCCGUGGGAAACUGCUGGUGCUGCUUCGCAAUGAAAGCCCAUCCAGCACUCGGGUGUGUCUGAGUAAAGCUCUCAGUCAGCCCUAAGACUGUGCAAUCCUGUCUGAGAGGAAAAGGGCAAGCAUGUACAUGGCCUUGAAUUUAAUGGAAAGAGGACAGCUCUUGUGCCUGUUGCUCAUUUAGAGUGGGAUUCUCCUGUGAAGCAAGACCUUGCUGGGAAGAAUGUGUCCAUGUAACAGAAGAAUUUCUCAGUACAUGAACAGGGGACAAGAUUACUGUUGAAUUGCCUAAUUUGGAUAAUCCCCGUUUUCUUGGUACUUAAAUUUGAAAUCUAAUAAUAUCUAAUAAUAUGAUAUGUAAUUUUGAAAAAUUAAAUAGGAAAAAAAGAUAAAAAAUAAACAUGUAGUGUUCAUGGAUGCCUCCUGAGGGGCAUUUAAGUUUGAUGAAAUGAAUCUUAGACAGUUGCCUGACAUCUGAGCCCCUACACUGCCGAAGUAAGUGGACAUCCACUUUGGUGACCAGCAGGAAAGGACAAAACAUUUUUGACUUUUCAGUUUCACAGCUAAGAAUUGGGAAUCUCAGGUUCUUCACAGUUUUUGUAUAACUAAAACUGUGUGUUCCACAGACACUGAGCUCCUGUCAUGAUCUCGUAGAACACUUGGAUUUCCAAUUCCCAUCUCUACUCCUAAGGAUGCUCUUCCCAAUACUAUUUUAGCUUUCUGAUUCAGUUUAAAAAUAACUUUCUCCACUUCAUCCCUGCCGACCCCCUUUAGCCCUGGUCUCUUCCCUGAUCCAGUUUGCCACAGAGAUCCACUGAAGUUACAUGGACGUGAUUAUGGAGAAAUUAUAGAAAUGAAACAAGUGAGAAGGGACGAGCCCAAAACAGGCAAACUUCUGCCAAA